UACGUAGGGUGCAAGCGUUAAUCGGAAUUACUGGGCGUAAAGCGCACGUAGGCGGACUGAAAAGUCAGAGGUGAAAUCCCAGGGCUCAACCUUGGAACUGCCUUUGAAACCCUCAGUCUUGAGGUCGAGAGAGGUGAGUGGAAUUCCGAGUGUAGAGGUGAAAUUCGUAGAUAUUCGGAGGAACACCAGUGGCGAAGGCGGCUCACUGGCUCGAUACUGACCCUGAGGUGCGAAAGCGUGGGGAGCAAACAGG
This 253-nucleotide ribosomal RNA is filed under the name uncultured bacterium. RNAcentral's name for it is "partial 16S ribosomal RNA". It matches the Rfam family "Bacterial small subunit ribosomal RNA", at positions 524 to 776 of the family's 1533-position model. The record is from RNAcentral.